RNAcentral lists this ribosomal RNA (162 nucleotides) under Photobacterium halotolerans. RNAcentral describes it as "partial 16S ribosomal RNA". It matches the Rfam family "Bacterial small subunit ribosomal RNA", at positions 1 to 142 of the family's 1533-position model. The record is from RNAcentral. Lineage: Bacteria; Pseudomonadati; Pseudomonadota; Gammaproteobacteria; Vibrionales; Vibrionaceae.
ACUUUAAUUGAAGAGUUUGAUCAUGGCUCAGAUUGAACGCUGGCGGCAGGCCUAACACAUGCAAGUCGAGCGGCAGCGACAUUAACAAUCCUUCGGGUGCGUUGAUGGGCGGCGAGCGGCGGACGGGUGAGUAAUGCCUGGGAACAUGCCUUAGUGUGGGGG